This 58-nucleotide transfer RNA is filed under the name Felis catus (domestic cat). It matches the Rfam family "tRNA", at positions 8 to 63 of the family's 71-position model. From Rfam's summary of the family: Transfer RNA (tRNA) molecules are approximately 80 nucleotides in length. Their secondary structure includes four short double-helical elements and three loops (D, anti-codon, and T loops). Lineage: Eukaryota; Metazoa; Chordata; Mammalia; Carnivora; Felidae. The record is from Rfam by way of RNAcentral. RNAcentral also lists the same sequence under 1 other name.
UGGCUCAGUCGGUGGAGCAUGAGACUCUUGAUCUUGAGGUCAUGAGUUCAAGCCCCAU